CUCCACCACCGCCAGCCCUGGAGCCCCAUCUACUCCUGGUACUACCUUUUCCAGCAGCAGAUCAGGGACCACAGGACCAUCCAUUUAUGAAACAACGAGAUUUCCAAGCAGUGAAUCAGCAGCACCUGGGCACAAGUUAGGCUCUGCUGGCACUUCCGUUCCCAUCCCCAUAGCUG
Perognathus longimembris pacificus (Pacific pocket mouse) is the source of this 176-nucleotide long non-coding RNA. RefSeq lists it as uncharacterized. Lineage: Eukaryota; Metazoa; Chordata; Mammalia; Rodentia; Heteromyidae. The record is from RefSeq and is a predicted model, not a curated record. The transcript is spliced from 3 exons.